Fukomys damarensis (Damara mole-rat) is the source of this 782-nucleotide long non-coding RNA. RefSeq lists it as uncharacterized. The record is from RefSeq and is a predicted model, not a curated record. NCBI's taxonomy places the organism in Eukaryota, Metazoa, Chordata, Mammalia, Rodentia, Bathyergidae. The transcript is spliced from 5 exons.
CGCAUGCGUGUGGCACGAGGUGUCCUGGGGCGCGCGGGGUUAUUUCCGGUGUGCGCUACCUGUGAAGCGAGAGGUGGAGAAACUGAGACUUGGAAAAGUUGAGCUACCUUCAAGGUUGCCCUUCCAGAAGUUUUCUUCUCAGAUGAAGGUGCUGUGGCAGGUGGGCUUCGGUACGUCACCCUACUGAGGAGCAUGCCCAACAGAAGGCCCCGAGGACCAAGCAGAGUGACCUGAUAUGCGUGUGGCAGAGUCCUCAUUCAUCCAACAAACAGGAUAAGCACCUUCAUGUUUCCCAGCAUCUUCCUGGACCUGGAGAUUCAACAGAGUACAAACAAGAUCACCAGAGCCUGGAAUCUAUCUGCUGAAUGCAUCUUGCAACAACACGUCCAGGUAGGGUGUACCGAAGCCGGCUUUCAGACAUAUGUCAAACUGAAAGGGGCAGCUGGAGAGACAGAAGCAGAGCUGCAAGCCUCUGGCAGCACUGCUCAGAUGGGGCAUCUCUGUAAGGGAGCCGCUCCGGCCUAUGGAUUAAGCCAUUUAAACUAAGGUUCACGCUCUCGAACUUGCUGGACGCCUGACUGAAUAAAACAGCUUGGGGUUGGGGUGCAGUUCGUUGGAGGAGUUGCAUGUCAGUGUCCUGGGCUCAGCCCCCGGCACCAAAAACAAAAACAAAGCCUCCCUUGGAAACACUGUGCCAUCUUCUCCCCACUAAUUAAAGGCACGGGGUGCCCCAUGAAGACACCUGUUUGCCCUUCCCGAGUGCGUCACAUCUUCCCCGCCCG